This 301-nucleotide ribosomal RNA is filed under the name uncultured bacterium. Its description in RNAcentral is "partial 16S ribosomal RNA". It matches the Rfam family "Bacterial small subunit ribosomal RNA", at positions 509 to 808 of the family's 1533-position model. The record is from RNAcentral.
CAGUAGCCGCGGGUAAUACAGAGGGUGCGAGCGUUAAUCGGAUUUACUGGGCGUAAAGCGUGCGUAGGCGGCUUUUUAAGUCGGAUGUGAAAUCCCUGAGCUUAACUUAGGAAUUGCAUUCGAUACUGGGAAGCUAGAGUAUGGGAGAGGAUGGUAGAAUUCCAGGUGUAGCGGUGAAAUGCGUAGAGAUCUGGAGGAAUACCGAUGGCGAAGGCAGCCAUCUGGCCUAAUACUGACGCUGAGGUACGAAAGCAUGGGGAGCAAACAGGAUUAGAUACCCCGGUAGUCCCUGUCUCUUAUA